Molecule: unclassified non-coding RNA, 5258 nt
Filed under: Hevea brasiliensis (rubber tree)
Lineage: Eukaryota; Viridiplantae; Streptophyta; Magnoliopsida; Malpighiales; Euphorbiaceae
Source: RNAcentral
UCUCUCUCUCUCUCUCUCUCUAGCACUCUUCUUUUCUUUGACCUCCCUUUACGCUUUCUCUUCUUUUAAACCCCAAUCUCAUAUCAGCUUCUCGAUCGGUUCUAAGGCAAAAAGGGUGAAAUUCUCAUCCUGAAAUUUGGUAUUUACCUCAAUCACGGAGCUUAGAUCUAAAUUUCCAACCAUUCAGCAACAAUGUCCUUUGCUCGGAAUUACCAUUCACAAGGUAAUUACCAUUCGCAAGGUGGCACUCUCCACGAUGAUCGUUGGUCCUCUUUCAAUAGAAACAACUACAGUAACAGGAACAGGAGUAUGAACACAAAUAGGAACGACAAUUACAACCAUAACUGGAAUUAUAACCAUUUCCAUGAAUUCCCAGGAAAAUUCAGGGACCACAUAAACAACAGUAACAAUUAUGUUAACAUUUCUAGUGGUGCCCCAUCCUUCAAAAGGAGAAAAUUUAGUGCUGGCACCUGGGGAGACACUGGGAGACACUUUGUGCAGCAGAUCACUUAUGAAACCACUGUUCCUUCAACCUACAACAAUUCUGUCCCUUCUACAAGAUCAAAUGCUGAGACCUCUACGUCUACCAGCUGCAAACGUGACCGCACAAAAUUGGAAGAUGAUGAACCUGCAUUUAUGUCCAGGGAUGAGAUUGAGAGACACUCCCCAUCGAGAAAAGAUGGUAUUGAUGCACUACGGGAAACACAUUUGCGGUAUUCUUACUGUGCAUUCCUUCAGAAUCUUGGACUGCGGCUUGAUUUGCCACAAACCACUGUUGGUACUGCCAUGGUUUUGUGCCAUCGUUUUUUUGUGCGAAGAUCACAUGCUUGCCAUGACAGAUUUUUAAUUGCUACUGCUGCUAUUUUUCUUGCUUCAAAGUCUGAGGAGACACCACGCCCUUUGAACAAUGUACUGAGAGCUUCUUGUGAAAUUUUUCACAAGCAAGAUAUGACUUUUUUGUCAUACAUUCUCCCUGUUGAUUGGUUUGAACACUACCGGGAGCGAGUGAUUGAAGCUGAGCAAAUGAUACUGACAACUCUAAAUUUUGAACUUAAUGUGCAGCAUCCAUAUGCUCCACUGACAUCUGUCCUUAACAAAUUAGGGUUUUCACAAACAGUUUUGGUGAACCUGGCCUUAAACUUGGUCAGUGAAGGGUGAGUUUAUCACUUCCAUUGUUAUGUACUGUAUUGAAUAUUAGAUUUUUGAAGGUGCUGUGCAUUUGUCAUCAGUUAGUGUUAGUGACAAAAUGAAUGAGCUCUCAUGGACCUAACUAAUAUGCUAUGAUUCUGAUCUUGCUUCUUUCUUCAGGAAGCUAUUUGGUUUGGCUCUGCUUUAGAUAUAUUUACGUGUGGAUUUCUAGAGAGUAAUUUGGGUAAAGUCACUGUUUGGUUUAGGAAGUGGAGUUGUGGCUCUAGUGAUUUGUCUAUGUAGAUUUGGCUGGUGAGUGUUUGAAUCUCAACCAAUGAGAACUUUGUUGAGGUUUUGUGUUACUUGGGUGAUUGGGCCAAGGAAGAGGAACUACUGGGUUUCUUCUUGUUCUCUUUUGGUUCAAAUUGCUUAUACUUGUGCCAGUAAUUUUCUUCUUUUGAGCAACUGCUCUGCCUAGUAAUUCUGGUAUGGAAUAUUGAUUCUUUUGGCAUGGCAUAUAAUUGCAGGGUCUACACAAGAUUAGCGUGCUUAUUAGCUGGCGGAUUGAUAUGCUGUGCAUGGAAAGUUUUUUUUUUAACCUCUGAAGUUGAACUGCCGAUAUGUUGUGGAUCACAUAACCAUGAUUAUAUACCCCAUCAACCCGGUUAUCUGCUAUAAAGAUAGCCUCAGAAAUUCCAUAACCAUUUUGCUAUUUAACUUCUUCCAUUUUCCAUUUUUUUAUUUGGACAAUUUUCUGGGCCCUUCAUACAAACUUCUAGUUUGUGAAGCCUGGUUGCUUUUCCAGCUGUUGUCCCUUCACACAAUUGGGAGGAAUUCUAUUGAUUGGGCUUGGGUCAAAGACCAAGUAUGGUCAUGUCCUCCCUGCAUUAAAUGAUUUUUUUAUACACGCUUGCUCUAAAGAUUUAUGCUAGUUGUCUUCCAUCUAACAUGUGUCUAUAGUUGCAUCUUUUAUUAUAAAACCAUUUUGGAUUUUUUGCCUGAUCCUUUUUUUUACAUUUCUCAAGCUUUUGUAAAAUUAUGGCCUUUUUUUAGUUCAAUUUCAUAGACGAAAAAUAUUUUUUCUGAAAGGGACAGUUCAAACAUUUGCCAACAAGUAUUUCCAUUUGAUAAAGGAGUGUCAACUGGUUGUGCAGUUGCAUAGUAUGAUCUAUUUUUGAGUUCAAUUGUAUGUUCUGAAAUGGUACUUGUGUAACUGUUUGGCAUGAACCUGUCAUUUUUUAUGGUAUAUUUCAAAAAUUUGUCAAUCUUAUCAGCGUAAACCAUGUAUAGAUUGGGGAUACAACGUACAAUUCCACCUAUUUAUGUACUGGCCUCAUCAUGAAGGUUUAUAUUAGUUGCUCACAGCAUAUAUUAUCCAGUACUUGUGGGUACCUAGACUUGAACCUUUUAUUGACCAUGGUGAAGACCUUCACAUUGGGAGACAACUAUGUUAUAGCAUACUCAAUCACUUAAAUGGACUUCCUAAUACUGCUGGGAGCAUGGACAGAGAUGGCCUAUAUUUGACUUAAUCUUUUUUUAGUCUUAAUUAAUAUAUACACAUAAAAAUUAUAUUAUGCUAUAUGCAUGAAAUAUGUUCUCAUUAUCUCUUAUCAUUCUGUUUCUGGACUUCUCUUCUUGCUGUCACAUCUUUCUAUCGUCAAUAGUAAUCUAGUAUGUUAGUUCUUUAUUAAAGAUGAUGCUUAUAAGCUUAUUAUCUUUCUGUUCAGUUUUUAUUAGAAGAGGAUACUUGUUAUCUUUUUUCUUUUUUUUUAUAAAAAAAGGGAAUACCUAGUAUACUUUUCUGUUUAAUGUUUUUCAUCUUUGUCAAGUACUUGCAUAAAACAGUGUUUUUAUUAAUCCAAAAUGAAGAAAUUAUUUGGAUGAAGAAGAAGGCAUACUCCAUUGAGAGCAUAGGUUUUAAAGGUGUGCUUGAGGCACAAUGUGCGCAUGGUGCAGUCCUAGUGCCUCUACCAGGCUAAGGCAGGCGCCUUCAACCGGUGUUCACUCUUUCCUAGGCACAAUGCAUAGGAAAGGCUUAAUUUGCAAGUUUUUGGUUGGGACACUAAAAGGGGAAAAAAAGAACAAAAAAUAUCGGUCACAACCUACAGUAAUAAACUCAUUAUCUUGUUGUGGAAGGUAAAAAUCACCACAAAAAUAAUUUUUUUCCAUUUCUUUUUUCUCCUAAUAAUUUGAUUUCAUUUCUUUGCUACCUUUACUUUGCGGUUAUUUUAACAUAUUUACAUGGUCAUAUGUUAUCCGCAGACAAGGUGCGGUUAUUUUAACAUAUUUACAUGGUCAUAUGUUAUCCGCAGACAAGGUGCAGUUUUAUCCUUCCCACACGUCUCCCUCAUUUGUUUAUGUGAUAAGUUUAUGGGGUGUAACCAUUUCAGAGAGUUUGUUUGUUGGUGUAGGAUUUCAAAUAUUACACUGUGUCUGUGGACAACAUAAAAUAUUAAACUUAGUAUGUAUGUGUCUCUCUUUCUAUCUUUUGGUGCUUAAUUGAAGUUAAUAAAUGAACUAAUUUAUUUAGGUAUGGUGCUUUAAGGUGCCUAAAGGAAAGAAGAUGGCUUGUCACUAUUCUAGAAGUUGAUUUACAUUUUUGUUUUGUAUAUGUAAAUGUAUUUUGUGUAGCUUAUUAAAUUCCUUAAAUGCUUUUGACCAAUCUGAGAGCUAAAAGGUGGGGAAGAGAAAGGGUGAGGAAAUGUUCUACUUCUCAAACCUCUUUUUUGGGAGAAGAGGCUGCAAAAUAGAAAAGAAAGAAAAUAGCACUACUUGAUUAAUCCUCACAGAUAACAAGACUAAUAGGCGGCCUUUCUUUUGUGUUUCAAUAGCACUACCAAGCUAGUUUUAUCAUGGUGGUGUCAGUUUGGUGUCUGUACCUACUGCUUUGUUAAGCUUAGUAUGCCUGUUGCUGUUUGUUCUUGCAUUCUGAUUCAUCUAAGCAAUUAUUUAACUGAGAUAAAAACUAAGUAUAAUGCCGAAUGUGAUUUUCUUUGGCCUGUUUUGAUUAAUGUCUAAUUAUCUCCAUGCAGAUUAUAAAUUGGACAAGUACAUGUUAUGGUUAAUAUUAAUUGAAAUAAAUGUAAUUUAACCUGACUAAAAAUAUAAUCUUAUUAUUAACUUCUUUUUGUUUCAUUCGUUCACCAUGUGGACUUCCAAAGGUUGUCAAGCUUGACUCCUGUAUUACUAAAAAAUAUAUUCUCUUGAGAAGUGAUUUCUGGCGUUCUGGCUGCUUGUAAUAAAAUGCCUCCGCAGUCCAGCUAAAAAUUUUACAUCACAAUGCAGACACACUUACACAAAUGCUUCUGGAAUUCAGGUGCAAUUUUAUUCAGUGAGAAAAGAGCCUCGAAGAUUGGGUCAGGGUAGUCAUGUGUAGGGCCUAUCUUUUAUGUUAAUAAAAGAAAAUUUGAAGUGUGGAUUUUCCUUUAUUUUUUUAAAAAAAAUUUUUAAAGGAAAAAAGAAACAAUCUUUCAGGGUUAAACCUGAUCAUCUUUUCUAAAUACAACCACCUUUGGCCCUGGAGGUGGGGUGGGGGAGGUGGUUUGUACACUUCCAUGGAACAUAUGUGGAGAUUGUGGGGAGCAAAGUUAUUAAGACAAUGUUACAACUGCCCUCUGCAGUGGGUGAGAUGCCCUCCUGACAUGCUUUCUUGCCUGUUGCCUCUUCCAUCUGUGCGAUUCUCAAUUUUUUUUUUUAAAUGCUUAUAAAUUUUUUUAGAUCGGUUGCAGCUUUUAGUAACAGAAAGUAUGGUUUAAUUUUGUUCUUGAUCAUUGAACUUUGAAUUUUUUUUUUCCAAUAAGGUCACCAUUGCCAAAUUUUUGUAGAGAUUUUAGCCCCCUUUUUUGGUUUUUGCUAACUAAGAAAUAGAAUAUUCUUAAUUCUACAGCUACAUUAGAAAAAUUUUACUUUGGUAUAAAAAAAAAAGGAUUCUAUGAAAACCUAACAACAUUGACCUUAUUGAAACAAAAUUAUAAAGUUACUUUGCUGAUGCAAAUUGAAGUUUAAUGAUUAUGCUGAAAUAAUGAUAAGUUCAAUAAUCAUUGAUGAAAUUCAGCCUUUUCAUAUUUCAAUCAAAGUUUUAGAACUCAGCAUGUAUUUGGAGCGUGGGUGUGUGUGUGUGUGUGUGUGUG